UACGUAGGGUGCGAGCGUUGUCCGGAAUUACUGGGCGUAAAGAGCUCGUAGGUGGUUUGUCGCGUUGUUCGUGAAAACUCACAGCUCAACUGUGGGCGUGCGGGCGAUACGGGCAGACUGGAGUACUGCAGGGGAGACUGGAAUCCCUGGUGUAGCGGUGGAAUGCGCAGAUAUCAGGAGGAACACCGGUGGCGAAGGCGGGUCUCUGGGCAGUAACUGACGCUGAGGAGCGAAAGCGUGGGGAGCGAACAGG
RNAcentral lists this ribosomal RNA (253 nucleotides) under uncultured bacterium. Its description in RNAcentral is "partial 16S ribosomal RNA". It matches the Rfam family "Bacterial small subunit ribosomal RNA", at positions 524 to 776 of the family's 1533-position model. The record is from RNAcentral.